This is a long non-coding RNA of Daphnia carinata, 377 nucleotides long. RefSeq lists it as uncharacterized. The transcript has 3 exons. The record is from RefSeq and is a predicted model, not a curated record. Lineage: Eukaryota; Metazoa; Arthropoda; Branchiopoda; Diplostraca; Daphniidae.
UCAAUUUGUCUUCAGUAACACCCAAAUUGAUGCCUUUCUGCGUGGAAUGAGGCGUAUUUAAGACAGUGUUAAAGAAAAAUGGACCACGAAUAUAAACAAGGAAUGUGCUUUUCUCUGAUUUAACCGGAAUGAUCGGUUUCCGACGAAUGGACGAACGUCACGUGCAACAUUUUCAAAUCGCCACAACUGCACAACAAGGAAAUGUGACGGCGUUAAGACACAGUACGUUAGCAGAGAACACCAUUACCCCACCGUACUCUUUUACCAUGUCCUGCACGGCGUGCGCAAAACCAACUUCAUUGAGGGAACAAUCCAUAUCAUUGGCAAUGGCGUAGAUGAUACCAAUUGAACCGCCAAACUCAGGACCAUUUGACUUA